RNAcentral lists this long non-coding RNA (927 nucleotides) under Pectinophora gossypiella (pink bollworm). RNAcentral's name for it is "uncharacterized LOC126381211". Lineage: Eukaryota; Metazoa; Arthropoda; Insecta; Lepidoptera; Gelechiidae. The record is from RNAcentral.
GUUGGUGAACAAUUCGCGAAGUUCUAUUGUACUUGUACCUAUUGAUAUUUUCCUGUGCUACUUUUUUCCUACCUACUUUGUUAGAAUUUGUAACUUACAAGUUCAGGCCCUACUUCCCCGUUUUUGCGUGGAUAUUCAACUGGUAAAACUUCCAGAACCAUUAUGUGUUUUGGAUAAAGCCGAAAUGAUAAAAAGUUUGUGGAUAAUGUUCGUUGAUAAAUUGCAAUUCCGAGAGUUGGAAGCAAUGUGUCUGUAUAAGUUGUGGAAUAUCUUUGGGAAGGCAUACAAGAAGACAAAAUCACAGGCCAUAAGCUUAGGGAAAGAAAUGAAGAGUGACAUUAUAUAGAAAAACAAAAAUAUCUCCGAGACAGAUUCCUGAUGGAUGCUCAUGUAUGCGUUGUUUGCACGAUGAGCUCACCUCAAAAGUAUUAAUAUCUAGUGAACAUAAGAGCUGUGUUAAGUGUGACGUUCCGUUGCAUUGUAUGUAGUUAGUAGCUAUUUAUGUUCAUAAAUGUUGUUAAACUACGAGCUUAAAUCACUUUAUAAUUUAUAUUAUCAUAUUAUUAAAUAGUUCAAUAAGUAAAUAGUUAAAUAAGCUAGUUAGGCACAUAACCCAUAUAUUUUAAUGUUAUUGUCAAGUUUAUUCUAUACCUACUUACUAAUAUGUUACCAUAUUAAGUUCCCUGACAUGAUUUAUGUAAUGACUAUGUACUAACAUCAGUAAGUAGUAACUGGGACCAGCAGCUUAACAUGCCAUUCGAAGCAUAGAUUAUCUUACUUCAGGCAAUCGGUUGAUCAGCCAGCCAUCUAACCAAACUGGACCACGGAGGCCGAGAGUACUUGGUUAAGUUGCUGUUUUAUUUCAACUAUUUAAUUAAAUGUAGAAAUAUUUUGUGUGGUUGCACCUACUUGUGAUAUUUUAAAUAU